RNAcentral lists this unclassified non-coding RNA (253 nucleotides) under uncultured Enterobacteriaceae bacterium. RNAcentral describes it as "contains 16S-23S intergenic spacer region". It matches the Rfam family "Bacterial small subunit ribosomal RNA", at positions 524 to 776 of the family's 1533-position model. The record is from RNAcentral. Lineage: Bacteria; Pseudomonadati; Pseudomonadota; Gammaproteobacteria; Enterobacterales; Enterobacteriaceae.
UACGUAGGGUGCAAGCGUUAAUCGGAAUUACUGGGCGUAAAGCGCACGCAGGCGGCCUGGCAAGUCGGAUGUGAAAUCCGCGGGCUCAACCUGGGAACUGCAUUCGAAACUGGCAGGCUAGAGUCUUGUAGAGGGGGGUAGAAUUCCAGGUGUAGCGGUGAAAUGCGUAGAGAUCUGGAGGAAUACCGGUGGCGAAGGCGGCCCCCUGGACAAAGACUGACGCUCAGGUGCGAAGACGUGGGGAGCAAGCAGG